UACGGAGGGUGCGAGCGUUGUCCGGAAUCACUGGGCGUAAAGGGCGCGUAGGUGGCUUCUCAAGCGCGCGGUGAAAGCCCGGGGCUCAACCCCGGGUCGGCCGUGCGGACUGGGAGGCUCGAGCACUGUAGGGGCGGGUGGAAUUCCGGGUGUAGCGGUGGAAUGCGUAGAUAUCUGGGGGGAAUACCAGUGGCGAAAGCGGCACCCUAGCGUUAGCCUGACGCUCAUGUGCGAAAGCGUGGGGAGCGAACGGG
Molecule: ribosomal RNA, 254 nt
Filed under: uncultured bacterium
Lineage: Bacteria
Description: partial 16S ribosomal RNA
Rfam family: Bacterial small subunit ribosomal RNA
Source: RNAcentral